GUCGCUGUGGUGUAGCGGUCAGCAUACGACGGUGCCAUCGUCGAGUCGCGGGUUCGAACCCCGCCAGCGACU
RNAcentral lists this transfer RNA (72 nucleotides) under Armatimonadota bacterium. RNAcentral describes it as "tRNA-Gly". It matches the Rfam family "tRNA". From Rfam's summary of the family: Transfer RNA (tRNA) molecules are approximately 80 nucleotides in length. Their secondary structure includes four short double-helical elements and three loops (D, anti-codon, and T loops). The record is from RNAcentral. Lineage: Bacteria; Bacillati; Armatimonadota.